RNAcentral lists this transfer-messenger RNA (397 nucleotides) under Bacteroidetes bacterium CG2_30_33_31. It matches the Rfam family "transfer-messenger RNA". From Rfam's summary of the family: Bacterial tmRNA, also known as 10Sa RNA or SsrA, is named for its dual tRNA and mRNA-like properties. Its role is to liberate the mRNA from a stalled ribosome. To accomplish this part of the tmRNA is used as a reading frame that ends in a translation stop signal. The record is from RNAcentral. Lineage: Bacteria; Pseudomonadati; Bacteroidota.
GGGGCUGACCGGAUUUGACAGCAAGAUGAAGAGGUUUGUAAGCAUGUCGGGCUUUGUGAAUGCUGUCCGUUAAAUUAGGUUCACGAACAUUUAAUUGGCGAAAAUAAUUUUGCUCUUGCAGCCUAAUCGAAUAAAGUAGAUUAAGCUUAAUCCCAGAACCAAGUUUUGGGACAGGACAUCUCGCGAAAAGUUUACCUUUUGCUGUUUCGAUAUCGAGGUGCUAGUAAGUUAAGGUUAGUUGCAAAUAAACUUGGGAUUUGCGAUGAAAAUAACAAGAUAAGGUAGAGUUUGGUUGUCUUAUGCCGCGCUUUACUCGAAAACCUAAAUAAGAAUAAACAUGUAGAAAGCUCUCAGCUUCCUUGUUUGGACCGGGGUUCGACUCCCCGCAGCUCCACAA